RNAcentral lists this long non-coding RNA (7839 nucleotides) under Homo sapiens (human). RNAcentral describes it as "HSALNT0338771". Lineage: Eukaryota; Metazoa; Chordata; Mammalia; Primates; Hominidae. The record is from RNAcentral.
GUAAAUUAUGGGAUGUCAUCCACGCCUGUCCCAAAGGUACCGAAUUUAUAAAUCAUCUCAGGUGCGGAGCAGGACAGGUUGAAAAUAGGAAUGACAUGAACCCGCGCGGAACAGCUGCCGGCGCGGUGUCCAGGGCGGCACCCCGCCCGGUCCCGGCCCCUCCAGCCCUGGGCCCGACCCCUACUACGCCUCUGCCUCGACGCGAACGCGGAGCCCGAGCGCGCGUCACGCCGUGUGGGGCCGAAGAGGCUGCUACCCAGAGGCGGAGUGCGGGCUCGCGAGGGUCCCCACCCCACUCUCGCUCCCGCCAGCACCUACGGACUCGCGUCCCCGCCGCGCGCCGACUCGGGAGCAGCACCGCCCCCGGCACAGGAGCCUCACGCGCCUCUUACCUAACAGGAAGUUGGGUGGAAGCAGCGCGGACCCACGGCACACCGAACGCACUCCAACAGAACCCGACGCAGACACGCGCUUUCAACCGGCGGAGACACUGGCAGCUGAUCCAUAUGAAUUCCUCUUAUUAAGAAAAAUAAAGCAUCCAGGAUUCAAUGAAGAACUGACUAUCACCUUGUUAAUCAUUCAGAAACAUGUUGCAGGCUUAAGCCAUUUUUGAUAUAGAUACUGAAACAAUUACUUGCUAAGAGCAAACUUGAAGGUAUGGAUAAGGCCCUGAGUCAUCUUCCUGAGCUGAAUGAUAGUUAAGCUGAAUGUACGUAUAAAAUAUGAUUUUCUAACCACUUGCUCGCCAACAAGGAAAACUUUUAAGUAGAGCAGAACCUGAAUAGACAAGACAUUUCUUUCUUUUGGUAGAAAAUGAUUUACCAUCACUGUGUAGUUAAUUGUAGACUAGGUAAUUUUAACUUUGUGAUUUAUUGCCGGAGACAUUUUCUUCUGUACUGUAAAGUGUGUGUCAAAAAAAAAAAUAGCGAUUUUGGAGGAUUAGGGGACUUUGAUAAAUUGCCUGCAAUUCUGGCAGUAUGAACUGCAUAUUAAUUUCUGUCUUUCAAGAACAUUUUUAUUUAUUAAUUCCUUACAAAAACUCCCUAAACUUUGGAACAGCUCUCAAUUGCCUGUAUUCUUUUUUUUCUUAUUAUGGUACUCUUCUAGAGAUUUGGCUUGCAUCUGUGAAUAAGCCAGGACAUCUUCAGAAAUUGUCUGAUUAAAAACACCACCAAUGGAGUUUCAUUAAAUUUGUAUUGCUCUGACUAGUGAAACACACACAUCUAUGUUGCUGAGGAUAUUUUACUGCAGUUCGAGUUGUAAUAAUAGCUCUGUUUAAGAUCCGUCAGUCACUUGAAUCUUCUCUAAGGCUUUGUAUGUUAGAAGUUAAUUUGCUUUCUUACAAGGCCACAUUCUAUCUUGUAACUAAACAACUGAAUUUUAUGUCUUAGCGUAGAUGGUUUACUACUUUCUGGUUUUUCUUUAGUAAGAAUCCUAUAAAAACACUAGUAUUUUUCUCUGAGUUUAAAAUUCAAUACAUGCCUACUGAUAUGGUUAGGCUUUGUAUCCCCACCUGAAUCUCGUCUUGAAUUGUAAUCCCCAUAGCCCCCAUAAUCCCCACAGGUCAAGGGAGAGACCAGGUGGAGGUAAUUGAAUCAUGGGGGCAGUUUCCCCUGUGCUGUUCUUGUGAUAGUGAGUUCUCACGAGAUUUGAUGGUUUUAUAAGGGAUUCUUUCCCCUUUGCUCGGCACUUCUUCAUGCUGCCUUGCGAAGAAGCUGGCUUGCUUCCUCUUUGUCUUCCGCCAUGAUUGUAGAUUUCCUGAGGCCUCCCAAGCUGUGCUGAACUUAACAAUUUGGACAAGACAGCAAAUGCUAUUGUCCAAGUUUUCUAAAGAAGAAUCUGAAGUGAAAUGACAUCAAGAGACCUAUCAAGACCUGUAUCCAGGAAAAGGUUUAUAUGUGGAAGAGACUUGCCCUGUCUCAGGUGAGACUUUGGACUGCCAACUUUUGAGUUAAUGCUGAAGACUGGACCUCACUGUGGGAACAACAAGAUCAACAAGAGGAGCAAGAACAACAUCAAGAGUCAGGGCCCGGGGGUCCUGACGGGUACAGGAUGGGUACAGACCCACACAGGAAUCCCAGAGUGUGUUCCACAGCAGGACACGCCUGCGCUGAAAGAGUGGGCAGAAAGGAGCUGACCUGGGAUUAUGAUCCAAACUCAGCUGGGCCUCCCCUCCCUGCCCCAGGAUUGUGGAGUGAGAACGUUGCAGCAGGAGAGAACAACGCAGCAAAGCACAGCAGGGGAACCGGAAAUGCUCACCUUUUGACAGGACCAAACCAAUGCACAACUCCUACGUACUGAUGGUGGUCUUACGUUUCCCUAAGUUUCUGCCGACUAAACUGUGCACACGUUCUCAGGACCUCCUGAAGCUGCGUCACAGGCGCUGAUCAAAGAACACAACCAAGAGUUUGGCCUUUUCUUCAGCACUGGGAAUUGUGAUCCAAAGCUUUUCCUGAUGAGGCACAAAGUUGGAGAAACAAAACGCAAACUAAGCAACAAUGAAACAGAACAGAGUGAAUCUGCUGUAGCUCAAGAGAGGACGUAGCUGCCCCCACUCCGCAUCCCCGGGCUCGGGUUUGCCUUGCUGACCUCUGCUGCCACCUGGUGCCGCACAGAGAAACUGAGGAGAAACCACAUCAGUCUCCUUCAGCCUCAGCUUCACAUCUGUGGUGGGUCAAGCAACCCUUUCAGAAGCUGUAUAAUGUGGGAAAGCUUUCCUCUCAGGAAAAUGCACACAUCCAACUUUGAGAAGAUGCCCUUGGGGGCGCUUCAAGGAUCCUAGAUAAAGAACCCCCUUUCCCGAACAUCCAAGAACCUAAGUUUUUUUUUUUUUUUUUGAGAAAGUCUCACUCUCUCUCCCAUUCUGGAGUGCAGUGGUGUGAUCUUGGCUCACUGCAAGCUCCACCUCCCAGGUUCACGCCAUUCUCCUGCCUCAGCCUCCUGAGUAGCUGGGACUACAGGCGCCCGCCACCACACCCGGCUAAUUUUUUUGUAUUUUUAGUAGAGACGGGGUUUCACCAUGUUAGCCAGAAUCGUCUUGAUCUCCUGACCUUGUGAUCCACCCGCCUCGGCCUCCCAAAGUGCUGGGAUUACAGGUGUGAGCCACCACGCCUGGUCCAAGAACCCAACUUUUAGAUCUAGAGUGAUGUCAGCAUGACAUUGAUUUCCUGAGGCCCAGGGGUGAAGGAGCUGAGGACAGCAGAGGGGUGAAGGAAGUCAGCUACAGACAGCAGCAGCUGAUGCACAGGCCUCCCAGCGCCUGAAGUCACCCGGAAUUGGGAAGUGCUCAGAAGCUUACAAAGCUGCCUCGAGGUGGGAACACAAUAUUAAUCCAAGAGCAGAUCCCUGAUCCUAUAAAAAUGUACUAGAUGCAGUGGGGGCAUUUUAAAUGAGCAGGGAAGAACAGACAGAUAGACAGAAGGACAAACAGUAUUGGGAUUGGGAUAAAUGCUCAGCUUUUGCCCAAAUCUUAGUGACUUAAGCAUCACUUAUUUGCUCACGAUUCUGUGGCUGGACCAUUUGGUUUGGCUCACAGGGCAGGGACUGUGCUGGUCUUACCUGAGCAGACCUGCAUGUCUGCGGUCAGCUGGGUUGGCAGAGACAGAGUGACUGUCUUCCUCCAGGAAGCAGCAGGUUAACUGGUUGGCAGAGACAGAGGGACAGAGGGACUGUCUUCCUCCAGGAAGCAGCAGGUUAACUGGUUGGCAGAGACAGAGGGACAGAGGGACUGUCUUCCUCCAGGAAGCAGCAGGUUGGCUCUGGUUCCUUCGUGGGGCAGCUGGUCUCUAGGGCAGCAAGAGAGACCAAGCCCCCGUGCACAUUCUACAGCCUCUGUGCACAUCAGACUUGUUAAUAUCCCAUUGGCCAGUGCAAGUCACACGGCCAAGCCCAGAUUAAGGAGUGGAAAGAUGGAUGCUAUCUCCUCCUGGGAGAGGAGGCAAAGGAGGUGAGAGCAUUAUGUGGCCACUUAUGUUUGCAAUCUACCAUACUUAGCCCUUUGAGAAAAGAAUUAACUGAGAAACUUGCUUCAAAUAGGGCAUUCAGUAAAAUGAAGCCCCAAUUGAAGUAAAAUGCAUAUAUAAAAAAUGAAACUGUGACCGAUUUUAAGGACAGUAUUGGCAAAUAUUUCUGUGCUCUUGGAGGAGAAGACCCUUAUUGGCAUGACAUGUCAGAAACCACAAUGAAAGAAUUAUUUUAACUUGCAUUCAUAAUAAUUAAAAUUAUUCAUUAAAAACAUCGUGAAUGAAAUUAAAAGUCAAAAUGUAAGCCAGAAAAUUAUUUACAACAUAUGUGUCAGGAAAAGACAAUACCCUUCAGACUUUGAGAGUUUACAUCAGAAAGAAAAUAGCAAAUGACAUGAUCCAAACUUGAUAAAGGACAUGAAAAAGAGCCAGCACUUAGUAUGUUUUAUGAAUGAAUAAGUAGCCAACAGCACAUGAAAAUGUGUGUAAUCCACUUGUAAGCAGAGAAAUGCAAACUAAAACAGUAAAGUGUCAUUUUCACUUCCUGGAUUGGCAAAGGGUUUUAUGUAUUUUACUGACAGUGCUCAAUAUUAGCAGUAAACAACAAAUGGUGAGUAAAUAUGAGCUUCGGAACCUCAGGGAAAUGAUCUCCUUAUUUCAACCUGUAGAUUCCUUCCUACAACCAGUGUAGAGCAGAGUACCAGGACGGGCCAUUGAGCACCCUGGUGUUGAGAGCAAGUGGCCUCUAGUCAGAGUUGGGUCAGGGCCACUGUGAGUGGGCUGCCCCCAACAUGAGUCAGCUGUCUAGGACUAGUUUAUCUCUGCUUCUCACUUUACUGGUAUUAUGGGGCAGCUCCUGCUGUCUUCCAAUUUGGUGUCUUCCAAAUCGGCACCGUCUUUUAAAGUUGAGUUUCUUGUUAUUCUCACCUGAUAUACCUUAUUUAUCCCACACCCACCCCAAUAACAUAUCGUGCUCAGUGUUAUCUUUGAGACAACACUUGAAUUUUACUCAGCCUGGAGCGCUCUUCACAUGUCUUGUCCAGAUCCAGUUCGGACUCAUUCUUCAGCCGUGCAUCAGUAAAUGGGGGCUAGGUUAAACUGUGGUGACAAACAACCUCCAAAUUUCAGUGGCUCAAAAAUCUUCUUCCUCAUUUAUUUACAUUUCAUCAUGGGUCAGGUGAGAGGUAGCUCUGUGCUGUGUCAUCCUAACACAGGGAUCCAGACGGAAGGAGGGACAAUCAAUAAGAUCCCCAUUGCUAUAGAAAAGAGAAAAAAGUAUGCGGAAUAGAACUCUGUUUCUUGGAGAUUUCUCCUGAAAAAGUCACAUGUUAUUUCUUCUCACCUCCAUUGGCAAAAAAAAAGUCAUGUGGCCAUGUGAAAAUGUAAGUAGGCGGGAUGGAACAGUCAGAAUGCAUUCAUAAAAUAUGAACUGAAAAUAUCUGGAGAACAGCACCUAUGACUACCACGAAUGCCAACAUGCAUCCCUAACAACCCAGUGCUGUCACCCUCCAAACUUUUUAUGUCUUGAAAAGUAUUAGAACUUCUUAUCUGAAGCCAUACCACUCAGAGGGAAUGCAAAAUACAUAUUGACAUCUCCUUUAGGAUGUCCUUAGAGAAUUCAAGGAAAAGAAGUUAAAUAAUUUAAAAGUGCUUUUGGGUACAGCUAUUUAGCACUAGAGGGUAAGAUUAGACAUAGAUUGUAAAGAUAAUAAUAGGGUUAGGGAUAGGAUUAGGAUCUGGGUCAGAGUCAGGGCCAGAAGUAUGGUUAGAGGUGGGGUCAUGGUCAGGGUCGAGAUCAAAGUCAGGGUCAGAAUUAGGGACCAGGGUAGGGAUCAGGGUUUAGGUUCAGGGUCAAAGUCUUGGGACAGGGUUAGGGUUAGGAUUAGAACCAGAGCUUUGUUCUCCUCAGGACCCACCCGAGGGUGGGUCACCAUGGCUUUGGAGCACCUGGUAGUGUGGCGUGUCCACAGUGAAGACCAGAGUUUCGUUGUCCUUAAGACUGACCUGGGGAGACGUGGCUGCAGGCCAUUGAGGAAGGUGAGGAAAAACAUCCUGUCUGCUCCCCGUGUGCUGAGGAGGGAGCUCUGCCGUGGGCUUUACUUUCACAUGUUAUAUUCCACAAGUCUUGUUUUACAAAAGCAUCCCUUCCUUGAGGCUUCGGCUGCUCAUCGCUGCUCAUCAUCAUAGCGUGCCAUAACAUAUAGUAAGAUUUGGGUUUGUUUCUGGGGAGAGAUCUUGGUAUAGAGAAAGGAGAAAUGCUUAGAGCCACCAUCAGGACAGUUGGGAUGAAAGUUGGGUAUAGGCAGAGGCUGGAGGAAACAUGUGCAUCCCCUGUAAACACUUUUAUUCAUGUUUUAAUUACUCAUUUUUCUUACAGUGUUAAAUUAGUAAAGAUAGUAUUGAAAAAUUGAAAAGUAGGCAUAUUAAAACCUGCAACACUAUUUAAGCUUAGAUACAUUAUUUGUAUCUCAUCAUUUUUUAUUUUGUUGAGAAAGUUUAAGGUUAAUUGACAGCAUAUUUCUAAUAGUAGAUAGAAUAACAUCCCUUUUAUAAACUUUGACAUCUUACAUUACAUGUGUGAACCCUGAAAAUCUGAGACAGCUCUCAGAUUUUUUAGAAAGUUUAUUUUGCCAAUCUUGAGGAUGUGCACCUGUGAUGCCUCCUCAGGAGAUCCUGACAACAUGGGCCCAAGGUGGUCGGGGCACAGCUUGGUUUUAUACACUUUAGGGAGACACGAGAGAUCAAUCAAUAUGUGUAAGAUGUACAUUGGUUCAGUCCAGAAAGGUGAGAAGGCCAGACAGGGGGCUUCCAGGUCACAGGUAGGUAAGAGACAAAUGGUUUCAUUCUUUUGCAUUGCUGAUUACCCUUUCCACGUGAGGCAAUCAGGUAUGCAUUUAUCUAGGUGAUCAGACGGGUGUCUUUGGAUAGAAUGGGAGGCGGGUUUGCCCUAAGCAGUUCCCAGCUUGACUUUUCCCUUUAGCUUAGUGAUUUUGAGUCCCCAAGAUUUAUUUUCCCUUCAUAAGUGUUCCUAUGAGUAUUAAUUAUUCAUUGUGUCUUUUAUUACACAAAUAAGGCACAGAUUUUUAAGAAAUCAUCAACUUCAUGGCUACCUAUAUAGACAUAAUUACAUAGAAGCUCAACUAAAUUUGCAAACAUUCCAGAGUUUGGGUUUCCAAUAAUUCUUUGUGAUUCUUUAAAAGGUAAAGUAUUUUUUCCCAUAAAACAUAGCAACAUUUAAAAUCACCCGUAGAAUGUCCUGCCAUUUUUGUUUUUCUAGUUUCCUCAUUUUCUGCAAAUCCUCGCUGAGGAAAUUGACUUUGAAUAUCCUUUUAGACUCUUUUGUUUUAGAAAGCAUUGUGGUAAAACAUUGAAUCAUCAUGGUCAUAAGUUCCGUUCACAUUCUUUCUUUCUUUGAAUAUUUUUUCCCAGUGGCCAAUAUUUGAUUCUGUUGUAUUAUGGCUAAAAGGUAGGCAUGGGAACAAAAUAAAGACAAGAAGUCUUUGGAAUAAUUGAUCCCAUCACAAUGAAUCAAUUUGCCAUUGGAACAUGUUUUUACAAAGUCACUCUUUUGAAAAUAUUCAGCUAUGACUUGAAACAGAGUCUGUAUGGUUAAUAUUUUUCCUGGUCUAAGGUGAACAGCAUUUUAGAGAAUGAACCCAGGACACAACCACAGCACAAGAAAAAAAUAUGAUAAUUAAGUUUACACAUAUUGUUACUACUGUAACAGAAAACAUGUAAAGGACAUUUGUUUUGAUUUAUAUAUCAGUCUGCACUGUUUAAUUUUUUGUGUCAUAAUUGCUCUUAUUUUAAAAAACAGGACUAGUUAACAGUGUCAAUUACUAGUAAUUCAUGGUAUAAAUAAUUAAACAAGGAAGUG